This is a long non-coding RNA of Eriocheir sinensis (Chinese mitten crab), 1156 nucleotides long. RefSeq lists it as uncharacterized. NCBI's taxonomy places the organism in Eukaryota, Metazoa, Arthropoda, Malacostraca, Decapoda, Varunidae. The record is from RefSeq and is a predicted model, not a curated record. The transcript has 3 exons.
GAGCCUAAGACAGUCACAUCAGCUUCGUCCGGUGCCAAAACAAGGGACUGGUCGGUAUUUUCAGAGGUCCGGUGCCAAAACAAGAGACUGGUCGGUGUUUUCAGAGGUCCGGUACCAAAACAAAGGACUGGUCGGUAUUUUCAGAGGUCCGGUGCCAAAACAAAGGACUGGUCGGUAUUUUCAGACAUCUGGUGCCAAAACAAGAGACUGGUCGGUAUUUUCAGAGGUCCGGUACCAAAACAAGGGACUGGUCGGUGUUUUCAGACAUCUGGUGCCAAAACAAGAGACUGGUCGGUGUUUUCAGAGGUCCGGUACCAAAACAAAGGACUGGUCGGUAUUUUCAGACAUCUGGUGCCAAAACAAGAGACUGGUCGGUAUUUUCAGAGGUCCGGUACCAAAACAAAGGACUGGUCGGUAUCCUCAGACAUUUCCGCUUUGCACAUCAACUAUUUCCAAAGGUCAUAAAGGAGAUCAGUAGGGUUCUCAUGAGUGUUUUUGUAGGUUCAUGGUACAGAAGAAAGGUCAGACAGAUUUCCAAAGGUCAAAAAGAUCAAUAGGGUUCUCAUGAGUGUUUUUGUAGGUUCAUGGUAUAGAAGAAAGGUCAGACAUAUUUCCAAGGUCAAAAAGAUCAGUCGGGUUCUUUUUUUAGGUUCAUGGUAUACAGAGGAAAGGUCAGACAUUUCUAAGGUCCUAAAAGAUCAGUCGGGCUCUUUUUUAGGUUCAUGGUAUACAGAAAAAAGGUCAGACCAUUUCCAAGGUCAAAAAAGAUCAGUCGGGUUCUUUUUGGGGGUUCAUGGUAUACAGAAGAAAGGUCAGACUGUAUUUUCAAAGGUCAAAAAGAUCAGUUGGGUUCUUUUUUGGGGUUCAUGGUAUACAGAAAAAAGGUCAGACUAUUUUCAAAGGCCAAAAAGAUCAGUCGGGUUCUUUUUUAAGGUUCAUGGUAUACAGAAGAAAGGUCAGACAGAUUUCCAAAGGUCAAAAAGAUCAGUCGGGUUCUUUUUGGGGGGUUCACGGUGUACAGAAGAAAGAUCAGACAGGUUUCCAAGGUCUAAAAAGGUCAGUCGGGUUCUUUUUAAGGUUCAUGGUAUACAGAGGAAAGGUCAGACAUAUUUCCAAGGUCCAAAAAGCUCAGGCGGGCUCUUUUUUUUUAGUUUAU